RNAcentral lists this ribosomal RNA (253 nucleotides) under uncultured bacterium. Its description in RNAcentral is "partial 16S ribosomal RNA". It matches the Rfam family "Bacterial small subunit ribosomal RNA", at positions 524 to 776 of the family's 1533-position model. The record is from RNAcentral.
UACGUAGGGUGCGAGCGUUGUCCGGAAUUAUUGGGCGUAAAGAGCUCGUAGGCGGCUUGUCGCGUCGGAUGUGAAAGCCCGGGGCUUAACUCCGGGUCUGCAUUCGAUACGGGCAGGCUAGAGUGUGGUAGGGGAGAUCGGAAUUCCUGGUGUAGCGGUGAAAUGCGCAGAUAUCAGGAGGAACACCGGUGGCGAAGGCGGAUCUCUGGGCCAUUACUGACGCUGAGGCGCGAAAGCGUGGGGAGCGAACAGG